AAAGUAAUUUUACACCUUUAAACACAACAUAAACCAGCACUCACAGGCAACUUCGACAUGAAUACAAGGUGGGCUAUGAAGAGGCCCAAUGAACAAAACAAAAUCAUAGAAUAAGCCCAACGAGACCCAAAUAAAGGAUCCAAUACAGAAACCCCUAAGCUCAGCCUCCGUACACGACCAAGGCAUGCUGAGAAACCACAUGUACAGCGCAAGCCGACCACCGGCCGCCGCAGACGGUUGGGCAAAAACGAACCACCAUAGCCUGGACAUAACCAGCAACAAGAGCACGACAUCGGCUCAAACACCCAGAGAAGAACACUCUAAUAGCUGGAUCGUCACCCCUUUGUCGCUUGAGAAAGCAACACAAGCCCUUCUCUAGAGUCGAGACCUCACAGCAUCCUCAGCUGAGCUCGCACAAAAGCCACCGUCUAACAAUGAUGUGGAGGCCGAUCUACAUGAGGGGAUGCUGGAUGGCACGACACCAGGAGCACUUUUAGCAUUUUUAAUCUCCGAUUGAAUAUCAUCUUUAGGUAAAGCCCAAUCCUCCAUACUCAGAAAAACCUAUAUAUUAUUUUGGAGAUUAGAUGGAAUUUCAAGAAUUUCAAUGAAUUAGUCUUACAAGAACCAUCAAAUCUUAGCUUUUUCAAUACAAAAGGAAGCGUUUUGGUCUUG
This 672-nucleotide unclassified non-coding RNA is filed under the name Hevea brasiliensis (rubber tree). The record is from RNAcentral. Lineage: Eukaryota; Viridiplantae; Streptophyta; Magnoliopsida; Malpighiales; Euphorbiaceae.